Long non-coding RNA from Apis mellifera (honey bee), 3720 nucleotides. RefSeq lists it as uncharacterized. The transcript has 8 exons. NCBI's taxonomy places the organism in Eukaryota, Metazoa, Arthropoda, Insecta, Hymenoptera, Apidae. The record is from RefSeq and is a predicted model, not a curated record.
GGAAUAUAUUUUAAAUUACGUGGAAAAUCAAGAGAUAAUGAUAAAAUUUCAAAACAUAUAAACAUAUGGAUUCAUAAUCUAUUCACAUCCAUAUUCAAAUGGUCUGAAUCUAUCCUGUGAGAUACUUGAUCCCAUCGCUACAAUGAUACCACGAAUAGGAGGAAACAGAGGGGAGAGGAUCGGUCAGUUCUCCCUGUGUCGGUGUUCGCGCCACAGAUUGCAUCAGCACGCCCUUAAUCCUAUUAUGACUAAGUAAUGACUCCUUAGUAUGCCGACUCGAGAACCGUAAAAAUGUUGUGUCAGAUGCUAUCUGACUGGUUGUCGUUUGGUAAUUUACCAUACGUCCAGCAUCGGCUAAAGGUCAGACCGCUUUUACGCUUGAUUCACGGCUUCCGAAGAAGUCUUCUCUCCUUCUAUGGCGGUCGUAACUAUGGAAAGAUUAGCGUAGUGAGAUUAUGAUUUAUGAUUUUCAAGCAGUUCAUGAGAAUUUUGUAUUAAAAGAGUAGAAAGUCGAAGUUAAUAUAUAUUGUGAUAUUAUGAACUGCAUCGAUAUCACUAUAAUGUUAAAAAUAAUAAAAUUAUUCAAAUUAGUAUUAAAGUUUAGAAUAUUUAGUGAAUAUCUAGAAAUUGAAAAAAACGAUGGAAUAAAUAUUUGAAAAUUACGCUGAUACUUUCAAAAUAGUCCAGUUUAUCUUGUUAAGCACAUUUGUUGAAAAAAUGGCAUGACUCAAAAUUUGCUUUUAUCGAAUUAAUUCUUUGUCACGAAGAAUGAACAUUGCUUAAGAAACAUCAAGCAAUCACUACUGAAAAGAAACAGAAAAAGAGAAAGAGAGAGAAGGAACGAUGGUAUUUAUAGGUCGUUCGAAUUCUAUGGAUCUCGAAGGGAACACGACAAGUAAUAAGUUUCGUUUAAGUCUGAGCAAUCAGAUAACGAUCGGAAUUUUGCGGCGAGAAGAAAGAGGGAAUCGAGAGAGAAGGAGAGAUUGUGUAUCCAAUCUACUUGUAAUUAUAUGCAACGGAAUCUGGUAUAUAAGGAUUGUUUAACGGUAAACGAUGAAUUGGUGCAAAUAGCAGGAAUGAACAGCUAUUUAACGAAAUUGCUAUGAACCAUCUGAUUAAGGGGAUUGCUUUGAAGUACACGUGUGUAUUGUGUAAUAACUGAUGAACAGGGGAAUACAUUCACCAGAUAUUGCGUCCCUUGAACAAGUUGUGCAUAAAUGAAUGAAUGGAGAUAAAUUUUAUGGAUGAUUUUUCAAAAAGGAUUAUUGUAAAGAGUAAUACAUAUUUGAGAGAUAUUGAAUAAUAAAGUAAAAAACUGUGAAGUAAAUAAUUGAAUAAAUAAUCAAGUAAGAAUUUUUGGAAAAUGUUGAAAGAAAGAGAGGAGUUAAAAAAAUUGAACGAAAGAAUGCUGUUAUUAGGUCAAUCAAUAUUUAAAUAAAAUUGAUGUAUUGAUGAAAAAGAAAAUGACUAUAAUUAAGAGAUAAAAAAACAACAUCAAAGCCGCAAUGAGAGUCGUAAAGAUGAGCCAACAGAACCAUAAAAGCAACGCAGAACAAUAAAUCUAAUAUCUCGUAAAACUCUGGUUGCCUCUUUCCAUCAUCAACGAUUAGGAAUGAUUCUCGAGAGCUUCUUAAUAAUGAAUGAUCCCAAAUCCAUCAAAACUCGGAACGAAAAUAUCCUAUCCUAUCCGUGAAGAAAGGAGUCCUCGAAAAAAAUAUGUAAAAGGGUCCACCAGAAACCAGUUCAGAUUUAUCGCUUCCGGUAUAGUGAAAAAUAUGAAGCAAAUUAACAUGCCCAAGUAAUAUUGUUACGAUGAUUUAUGGGUGAAAACACGAGGAAGCUGUCCAACGUCAUUUUAAGCGGCAAAGAGAAUGCGAAUUUGCAAGAAACUAAGCCGACUGCAUACCAACGAGCCUGAAACCCAAGAAAGCCGAUCUUUCCGCAAUAUCUUCACCGCCUUAAUUCCCUGCGAAUCUCAUGAAAAAAAGGCGCGAACAUCGUCCAAAGGGAUUUAAACGGCUACUUAUCCUCGUUCGGUUUGGUUUGUAAUAAACCAGGAAAGAAGAUAUAAAGAAAAAAAUGGAUGUGAUAAAACGUGUAAGUUUAUAAGUUCACGUGUUUUGAGAUAGAGAUAGAACUCGAGUGACAUAAGUAUUUGAAUGAUUUUAAAAUUCAUUCAACUCAAAAAAACAUUUCGAUAAAAAAGAAUUGUUUCAAAAACUUAUUUUCUUCAACUUUAAUCAAGCAAUCACACAUUGCAAUCAAUUACUAAUACAAAAAAUAAUUGGAGACAACAUACAGAGCCGCUGUGUUACAAUAGUUGUUACUGAAACGAGUUCAAAUCACGUUGCUCUAAGGAUGCUUUUAAUUUGAAAGCAAAUUCUCCAAGAUAAUGUAUGAACUUGGCAAUGGUAACAUUGAAAGGAUAAUGUACCAACUUUGUCUACCCUUAAAAAACGUUGACCGAGAAGAAAGAAGAAUGAUGGACGUUCAACCCGAAUAGUUUUCCAGAUGUCAUCCCUUUCUCGAGAUUCACAACGAGGCGAAUUGUCAGCUUUGCGAAAUGGAAAAAAAAAAAACAAAAAGAAAAAAAGAAAAAAUAAAUAUUACGACUGUGUUACGAACGUGGUUUACCGGUAGCUAACACGUAGAAGCUACUCUUUGUACGUGGAAUAGUUACGAGUUCUUCGGGUUCUGUUUAAUAUGCAUGGAAACGCGCCUCUUAGAGCAUAUGCUUUCAUAUGUUUACCGCUUCCAAUUUCUCAUUGUUAUCAAAACUACUGACUUAAACGAUAUUCUUGUAUGGAGGAAGAGUGAAAGAACGAGUUCGAAAGUUACAGAGAAAAUAAUAAUGGAUUAAAUAAAAAAAAGAAACUCGAAUUUUUCUAAAGGUAUUUUUCAAAGCAAGAAGACUGACAAAACCUAAAAUGGACAGGAUAGGAUCCAAGUAUAUUUAAAAAACAAAAUACUACUAAAUAAUCUUAACUUGAAAUUUUCUACAAAUUUUUAAGUAACAUAAAUCCAUUCAUAAAUAAGAUCACUUACUUAAUUACAAAUUUCUUUGUUUGUUUCAGGAUUCUUCAAGAAAAAAAUGCUCAAGAUCAAUCAUUUGUUCAAUUCACAUUCAAUUGCCUCUUUAGAGAUAAGGAAAGCUUGAGCAACUGAGCAACCUAAAGAUGUCGCAUAUCCUUAAAUCAUCUUAUCUAUUCAAAGCUUAUUAUUCACACGCUUUAAACGACGUCUAAAGUGCAGUGACAUCUUUUUUUGACUGUCACGCCUUUAUCGCGUUCAGUUUUACGCGACUACUCGUAUCGAUCUGACAGUGGCGUAAAAGCCAUGACAGAAUACCAUCAGCGACCAUCUUCGCGGAAUCCUAAGAAACUUAGUUAGUCAGGAACCCUCUGUGUUGCGUAUCGGAGUCAGCAGCCCGUUGCUGGAUGACAAAUCGUUGGUUGGCCGAGCUGACAGCUAACAUCCAUUGACCGUUUUACAACUUGAUAAAUCGUAACACGGAGGAUCUUCUCGUUAUAACAGAUGGUGUACGCGUUAAGUGUCUAUUUUUUAAAAUUACUUCUUUAUUUAAGGAUCUUUAUUUUUUUGAUCUUGUUCAAAUCAUUGGAACCGAUGAAAUAAUGCAACAUAUUAUUCUACAAUACAAAUUAAAAUUUUCUGAUAACAAAAUUCUAAGUAAUUCAAUAAAAUAUAAAAUACAAAUUGAUA